RNAcentral lists this ribosomal RNA (468 nucleotides) under uncultured bacterium. RNAcentral's name for it is "partial 16S ribosomal RNA". It matches the Rfam family "Bacterial small subunit ribosomal RNA", at positions 28 to 507 of the family's 1533-position model. The record is from RNAcentral.
GAUGAACGCUGGCGGCGUGCCUAACACAUGCAAGUCGAACGGAAAGGCGCUGCUUUUGCGGGGUGCUCGAUUGGCGCACGGGUGAGUAACACGUGUGUAAACUCUCCCUAUCUUUGGGAUAACUCCAGGAAACUGGGGCUAAUACCGGAUAGGAGCUCCUGAUGCAUGGUGGUGGAUGGUGAGAUUCGGCGGUUGGGGAUGGUCUCGCGGCUUAUCCGCUUGUUGGUGAGGUAGUGGCUUACCAAGGCUUUGACGGGUAGGCGGCCUGGGAGGGUAGACGGCGACAAGGGGACUGAGAGACGGCCCAGACGCCUAUGUGAGGCAGCAGGGGGGAGUUUUGCGCAGUGGGCGGAAGUCUGAGGCAGCAGCGCCGCGAGCGGAAUGACGGCCUUCGGGGGGUAAACCGCUGUCUCCGGUGACAUAGCCUUAGUGACGGUAAUGGGUAAAGAAGCACCGGCUAACUACGUG